RNAcentral lists this long non-coding RNA (507 nucleotides) under Monodelphis domestica (gray short-tailed opossum). RNAcentral's name for it is "lncRNA (ENSMODG00000047192.1)". Lineage: Eukaryota; Metazoa; Chordata; Mammalia; Didelphimorphia; Didelphidae. The record is from RNAcentral.
UUCUCAGGCUAAAGAGGGUGCUCCUGUUCAGUUACAGGAGGGACUGUGCAGUCAUCUAAGUCCCUUCCAGCCCUGAGAUUCUGGGAUUGUAUGUGUAUGUAGUCUUGGUUCAUAAAAGGGAUGCCAAGGACCAGUUGAUAGUCUGCCAAUGCUUCCCCUCAGGUGUAAGCAAUGGUUGUGUCCUGUGGCAGCCAUGGUGGAAGCCGGGAUAACUUCAUGGCAUCUGCAUGAAUGUCACGCCAAUCUGGGGAAUACAUUUGGUACUCGAUGAACCCCAGGAUGGAGAAGAGCCUCUGAGGCAUAAAUGACUCUAGUAUCCCCAGUGAACUGAGCUCAAGUCUACUACCCUCCACACUUGAUCUGUUGCCUAGAGACAAAAGGUGAGUUUAAGAUACCCUUUCCCAUACCUGAGGGUGUAGUCUCAUCAGCUUUUACAAAGGUCUUCACCUAUAUAGGACAAACUUAUAAUUCGGGUUACUGUCUUAGAAAUUAAGGUAUUCCUGUAAU